Gallus gallus (chicken) is the source of this 3217-nucleotide long non-coding RNA. Lineage: Eukaryota; Metazoa; Chordata; Aves; Galliformes; Phasianidae. The record is from Ensembl.
CUUCUAUCUCUUCAGUUGGUAAUCGUUGGCACAGGCCACAGUGUUCAAGAAGAUGAUUUUUCUUUUCAUCUAAUUAUGACUAAGUUAAGGACACAGUGAGAAUUGUUCAGUACCAGACUGCUCCUUUCAGAAAAUUAAGCCAAUGGAAGUUCCUUGCAUAUUGUUACUUAUGUUAGGAUAUCUUGAUAAUUACAUAUGAAUUUCUGAUAAGCACAUUUUUGAAAACACAAUACAAAUGUAAGUUAGUUAGCAAAAUUGCUAUUGCAAUUGCAACACACAGCUCAGUCAGAAAACCAGGGUGAAUUCUGCUACCAGUUAGUCAUGUGCUGCCAAAAUUGUAUUUCUUUAAUCACAAGGUUUUCUUAGGAUAUUUACAGACCUGGGUCCUUGUGCCUGUGUUUUCAAAACCCCUGUUGUCAUCACAAACUUUGUUUCAUUUUUAUUCUCAAGUCAUAUAGUUUAUUCUACACUUGCACACAUAUACAUACCCUUAAUGAUCAAGUCCUGUGGAUGUAUGUCUAUAUAUAUGUAUGUGCAUUGAGUAUAUAAAUAAAAGCAUUAGUGCAUAUAAGUGUUUAUAAACACAUAGGAUUUUUUCACCACACAUGUAAUGUGUAUGUGUACACCCAUUUAAUAGUGGUGUGUACGUGUAUUCGUACACCUCAGAAAACCGUAGAUUUUGCACUACUAAUCUGUGUAGAGCUGAAGCUCACACAAACUCAUUCUGAUAUAAUAGAGGCAAAAGUAUGGCAACUAAUGAUAUUUAUUCAAAGUUGAGGUUUAUUUUGAAUUUUUACUCUUGUACCUGUCAAAGUCUGGACAGGGUUGCAUUGCAUGGCACUGUAUGCAUUUCACCCUCUAAACAAAUUUUUGUCUCACCACUGUAUUGCAUCAAACAUACAAUCAUAGAUUAUCUUGAGUUGGAAAGUACUCACAAGGAUCACUGAGUGCAAAUCCUGGCUCCACACAGCACCACACAGAAUUCAAACCCUGUGUGUGAAAGUAGUAUCCAAAUGCUCCUGGGAGCCCAUGCCCACUGCCCUCUGGUGAAGAAAUUUUUUAUAAUGCCCAGCCUGACCUCCCCCAAGGCAUCUCCAUGCCCUUCCCUCAGGUCCUGUUGCUGUCACCAGAGGAGAGAUCAGCACUGAAACAUAAAAAAAAGGUAACAUUUCUCUAAAUAAAAUCAUUCUAACAGUAUGCUUUUGUUCCCUUAAGUGUGUAGCCAGGGGUUUCUUUCUUUAUGCAUUUGAGGGGCAAGAAUGUUGUACAAAGAAAGAAUGAACUAAUAAUUACCAGUCAGAUCAAGGAGUGAAAAUAAUCCUUCCCUAUGUUUUCUUCCUCUCCUAUAUGCUGUGUUUGUAGGCAAUGAGAAGUAUACUCAUAACAGUACCUCUUCCUCCUAGGGGUUUUGAUCACGUUACUACAGUCAGCAGAGCAUUAAGAGCCAUCUAGGUGCAGCUGAGGGAGCAGCAGGGUAGCUUUGGAGGGAGCUGGGUUGAGGGGCUGAGCUGAAGUGUCUUUGCUUUAUUCUGACUAUCAAUAAUCCCCAGGCAGCUCCACAGCAAUAGGGCUGGAACAGCCUAGGAGUUCCCAGAAGUAUACUGGCUGCCAGUGGUCAGAAUGAGAGCAAAUUGAAUCACUAAUCAGUUUAAAUACCAGAAUCUCAAUACUGAGAUUUUUAUUAACUAGUCUGAAACUACUUCAAUGGAAUUUUUAAAACUAAUUCCGAUAAGAAGGGUAGUGCAGUACACAAGGUAGUAAAUAAGUAGUCUGUAUUUAUAGCAGAUCAAAGGAGCCUGUUGUGUUGUAAGAAUCAAGGUUGUCUUUUCAAAAUAAUUCUUUCACCUGAGCUCAAAGUAAAGUAUUUAGGUUUUCCCUAUAGUAAUUAGUAAAGAACUGAUGUACUCUCUUCCAAUAUAUAUCACAUUUACAUUGUUUGUUUUAAAUGUAGAAAAUAAAUCCUGUAAUUUGCAUAUUAUUUACUGUAAAAUAUUCAGGAGUUUUCUUUUAAGGAAAGGUUGCCAGAUGUUCUUACUGGCUAUCAGCCAGUAACUUGAGCAUGAGGCAGAACACUUCAAAAGCUUUAGGUGUGAGAUUUGUCCACUACUGAUCAAACUGAAAUACUAAGAAAUAUUUGCAGAAAAUAAAUAUUUAUAUGCCUUAGUAAAACAUCCAUGCUUCCUGCAUUUUUUGAAUCUCAAGUUAGAUUGACAUCUUACCUUUUAAGGGUGGCUGUUUAAAAACAAAGCAACAACAAAACAGGGGAAAGAUAAUGGAAAUGGUUAUAAUGCUAAAAUAUACUUUUCUUGGUGUAAUUGACAUAAGAUCAAGGGCUACGGUUUUAUAGUAGCACUUUCUGUCCUCUUGUCUGUGUCAGUGUGACUUUAUGUAAAAGUCUGGGUAUGAAGGUUAAUAGGAUUGUGCAGCUUGCGAAAACCCUCAGAUCUCUAACUUCCUCUCAAUUCUGAACCAUACUGAAAUUAAACUUUUAACAUUGCCUUUAAUGCUUAUCCCAACAGUGUUCUUGUUUUUCCUCCAGAGAAAUAAUCAGUAGAAGGACAAAAUGAAGGUAUGUUUGCAGAUUUUAAAGUGACCGCCCCUUGCAAAUCUCACACUCAGCAGAACUGAGGUCAGCAGGAAGGAACCACAUUGCCUUCCAAGCAGUAUCAGGCACUUUGAACUGCAGGCUCUGAAAUUUCCAGUCUCUCUCUUGUAGUGGUGAAUUCCUUCCCAGGCAUUCCGUUUUGCCUAACAAGCAGAAAAAAAACCCUUAAGCAGUCAUUGAACAUCUGAGGAAUAAUAUCACUGGUGCUCUGAUUAAAAAUUGGUAUCUCAAAAGUGUUUCAUGAUUGGAAAUAAUUACAAAUGAUGAUGGAUCAGGUGUACAGCAGUGGUGACCACUUGUUGGCUUAACACAUAGAAGAAAGAAAGAAUACUUCAGAGAAGAAUUACAGGUGACGCUGUAAGGCAAAUCUGAAAUUACGUUAACAAAUACAUUAUAUGAAAAGGCAAGUUCUACUGAAUAUUCUUUUUGAAGUGACUAACCUCAUGCUUUAGAGUAGGGAACUUUAAUAGUGAAAUAGUAAAAGCAUAGACAUUGAGAAAUGUUAAUAUGAAUACUGUCAAAUUCAAGUAUUUGAAUUACAAAUGGGUUGCAUACAUUCAUGACUUGGUUAGAUCUCAAAACUCCCAACAUUGAUAACUCUUACUGUGGAAA